RNAcentral lists this ribosomal RNA (233 nucleotides) under uncultured bacterium. Its description in RNAcentral is "partial 16S ribosomal RNA". It matches the Rfam family "Bacterial small subunit ribosomal RNA", at positions 794 to 1026 of the family's 1533-position model. The record is from RNAcentral.
UCCACGCCGUAAACGAUGUCAACUAGCCGUUGGGAGACUUGAUCUUUUAGUGGCGAAGCUAACGCGAUAAGUUGACCGCCUGGGGAGUACGGACGCAAGUUUAAAACUCAAAUGAAUUGACGGGGGCCCGCACAAGCGGUGGAGCAUGUGGUUUAAUUCGAUGCAACGCGAAGAACCUUACCAAUCCUUGACAUCCUGCGAAUUUUUUAGAAAUAGAGAAGUGCCUUCGGGAA